This 501-nucleotide ribosomal RNA is filed under the name uncultured Lachnospiraceae bacterium. RNAcentral describes it as "partial 16S ribosomal RNA". Lineage: Bacteria; Bacillati; Bacillota; Clostridia; Lachnospirales; Lachnospiraceae. The record is from RNAcentral.
CACGUAGUUAGCCGGGACUUCUUAGUCAGGUACCGUCUUUUUCUUCCCUGCUGAUAGAAGUUUACAUACCGAAAUACUUCUUCCUUCACGCGGCGUCGCUGCAUCAGGGUUUCCCCCAUUGUGCAAUAUUCCCCACUGCUGCCUCCCGUAGGAGUCUGGACCGUGUCUCAGUUCCAAUGUGGCCGUUCACCCUCUCAGGCCGGCUACUGAUCGCUGACUUGGUAGGCCUCUACCCCACCAACUAUCUAAUCAGACGCGGGCCCAUCCUGUACCGUCUCGGCUUUUCACACUGUAACAUGCGUUACUGUGCGCUUAUGGGGUAUUAGCAGCUGUUUCCGGCUGUUGUCCCCCUGUACAGGGCAGGUUGCCCACGCGUUACUCACCCGUCCGCCACUAAGUCACUUACUUCUUCCUCCCGAAGGAUUUAGUUGUAAGCGCUUCGUUCAACUUGCAUGUGUUAGGCACGCCGCCAGCGUUCAUCCUGAGCCAGGAUCAAACUCU